GCCCUCGGUGGCUCAGAUGGAUAGAGCGUCAGCCAUGGAAGCUGGAGAUCCCGGGUUCGAGUCCCGGUCGGGGCA
Molecule: transfer RNA, 75 nt
Filed under: Schistocerca americana (American grasshopper)
Lineage: Eukaryota; Metazoa; Arthropoda; Insecta; Orthoptera; Acrididae
Description: tRNA-Pro
Rfam family: tRNA
About the family: Transfer RNA (tRNA) molecules are approximately 80 nucleotides in length. Their secondary structure includes four short double-helical elements and three loops (D, anti-codon, and T loops).
Source: RNAcentral